This 465-nucleotide ribosomal RNA is filed under the name Vreelandella stevensii. Its description in RNAcentral is "partial 16S ribosomal RNA". It matches the Rfam family "Bacterial small subunit ribosomal RNA", at positions 338 to 795 of the family's 1533-position model. Lineage: Bacteria; Pseudomonadati; Pseudomonadota; Gammaproteobacteria; Oceanospirillales; Halomonadaceae. The record is from RNAcentral.
CCUACGGGGGACAGCAGUGGGGAAUAUUGGACAAUGGGGGGAACCCUGAUCCAGCCAUGCCGCGUGUGUGAAGAAGGCCCUCGGGUUGUAAAGCACUUUCAGUGAGGAAGAACGCCUGGUGGUUAAUACCCAUCAGGAAAGACAUCACUCACAGAAGAAGCACCGGCUAACUCCGUGCCAGCAGCCGCGGUAAUACGGAGGGUGCGAGCGUUAAUCGGAAUUACUGGGCGUAAAGCGCGCGUAGGUGGCUUGAUAAGCCGGUUGUGAAAGCCCCGGGCUCAACCUGGGAACGGCAUCCGGAACUGUCAAGCUAGAGUGCAGGAGAGGAAGGUAGAAUUCCCGGUGUAGCGGUGAAAUGCGUAGAGAUCGGGAGGAAUACCAGUGGCGAAGGCGGCCUUCUGGACUGACACUGACACUGAGGUGCGAAAGCGUGGGUAGCAAACAGGAUUAGAUACCCGGGUAGUC